CAGAAUCCGGUUGAUCCUGCCGGACCUGACUGCUAUCGGAUUGAUACUAAGCCAUGCGAGUCAUUGUAGCAAUACAAGGCAGACGGCUCAGUAACGCGUAGUCAAUCUACCCUAUGGACGGGAAUAACCUCGGGAAACUGAGAAUAAUGCCCGAUAGAACAUUAUGCCUGGAAUGGUUUAUGUUUCAAAUGAUUUAUCGCCAUAGGAUGGGACUGCGGCCUAUCAGUUUGUUGGUGAGGUAAUGGCCCACCAAGACUAUUACAGGUACGGGCUCUGAGAGGAGUAGCCCGGAGAUGGGUACUGAGACACGGACCCAGGCCCUAUGGGGCGCAGCAGGCGAGAAAACUUUGCAAUGUGCGAAAGCACGACAAGGGUAAUCCGAGUGGUUUCUGCUAAAGAAACCUUUUGUCAGUCCUAGAAACACUGAUGAAUAAGGGGUGGGCAAGUUCUGGUGUCAGCCGCCGCGGUAAAACCAGCACCUCAAGUGGUCAGGAUGAUUAUUGGGCCUAAAGCAUCCGUAGCUCGUUUUGUAAGUUUUCGGUUAAAUCCAUGCGCUUAACGUAUGGGCUGCCGGGAAUACUGCAUAACUAGGAAGUGGGAGAGGUAGACGGUACUCGGUAGGAAGGGGUAAAAUCCUUUGAUCUAUUGAUGACCACCUGUGGCGAAGGCGGUCUACCAGAACACGUUCGACGGUGAGGGAUGAAAGCUGGGGGAGCAAACCGGAUUAGAUACCCGGGUAGUCCCAGCUGUAAACGAUGCA
Molecule: ribosomal RNA, 760 nt
Filed under: Nitrosarchaeum sp.
Lineage: Archaea; Thermoproteati; Nitrososphaerota; Nitrososphaeria; Nitrosopumilales; Nitrosopumilaceae
Description: bacterial SSU rRNA
Rfam family: Archaeal small subunit ribosomal RNA
Source: RNAcentral